Molecule: ribosomal RNA, 744 nt
Filed under: uncultured Alphaproteobacteria bacterium
Lineage: Bacteria; Pseudomonadati; Pseudomonadota; Alphaproteobacteria
Description: bacterial SSU rRNA
Rfam family: Bacterial small subunit ribosomal RNA
Source: RNAcentral
GUGCCUUAUCUGCAAGUGAGCGCAUCCUUCGGGAUGAGCGGCGGACGGGUGAGUACGCGUGGGAAUGUGCCCUUCUCUACGGAAUAGCCACUGGAAACGGUGAGUAAUACCGUAUACGCCCUCAGGGGGAAAGAUUUAUCGGAGAAGGAUCAGCCCGCGUUAGAUUAGGUAGUUGGUGGGGUAACGGCCUACCAAGCCUACGAUCUAUAGCUGGUUUUAGAGGAUGAUCAGCCACACUGGGACUGAGACACGGCCCAGACUCCUACGGGAGGCAGCAGUAGGGAAUCUUGGACAAUGGGGGCAACCCUGAUCCAGCCAUGCCGCGUGAGUGAAGAAGGCCCUAGGGUCGUAAAGCUCUUUCGCCUGUGAUGAUAAUGACAGUAGCAGGUAAAGAAAUCCCGGCUAACUCCGUGCCAGCAGCCGCGGUAAUACGGAGGGGGUUAGCGUUGUUCGGAAUUACUGGGCGUAAAGCGCGCGUAGGCGGAUUGGAAAGUUGGGGGUGAAAUCCCGGGGCUCAACCCCGGAACUGCCUUCAAAACUCCCAGUCUAGAGUUCGAGAGAGGUGAGUGGAAUUCCGAGUGUAGAGGUGAAAUUCGUAGAUAUUCGGAAGAACACCAGUGGCGAAGGCGGCUCACCGGCUCGAUACUGACGCUGAGGUGCGAAAGUGUGGGGAGCAAACAGGAUUAGAUACCCUGGUAGUCCACACCGUAAACGAUGAAUGCCAGUCGUCGGAUAGUAUACUAU